AGUGAACGCUGGCGGUAGGCCUAACACAUGCAAGUCGAACGGCAGCACAGUAAGAGCUUGCUCUUACGGGUGGCGAGUGGCGGACGGGUGAGGAAUACAUCGGAAUCUACUUUUUCGUGGGGGAUAACGUAGGGAAACUUACGCUAAUACCGCAUACGACCUACGGGUGAAAGCAGGGGAUCCUCGGACCUUGCGCGAUUGAAUGAGCCGAUGUCGGAUUAGCUAGUUGGCGGGGUAAAGGCCCACCAAGGCGACGAUCCGUAGCUGGUCUGAGAGGAUGAUAGGCCGCACUGGAACUGGGACACGGUCCAGACUCCUACGGGAGGCAGCAGUGGGGAAUAGUGGACAAUGGGGGCAAGCCUGAUCCAGCGGUACCGCGUGGGUGAAGAAGGCGUUCGGGUUGUAAAGACGUUUUGUUGGGAAAGAAAAGCAUCAGGUUAAUACCCCGCUGUUCUGACGGUACCCAAAGAAUAAGCACCGGCUAACUUCGUG
RNAcentral lists this ribosomal RNA (492 nucleotides) under uncultured bacterium. Its description in RNAcentral is "partial 16S ribosomal RNA". It matches the Rfam family "Bacterial small subunit ribosomal RNA", at positions 29 to 507 of the family's 1533-position model. The record is from RNAcentral.